RNAcentral lists this long non-coding RNA (338 nucleotides) under Eucalyptus grandis. RNAcentral's name for it is "long non-coding RNA (EGRA_LNC001074)". Lineage: Eukaryota; Viridiplantae; Streptophyta; Magnoliopsida; Myrtales; Myrtaceae. The record is from RNAcentral.
CCCCGCCGCUCCCGGAAUGCUCCUGGCCGCCGGAGCCGAGGAACCCCUGGGCCAUCUUCAUGUAAUCCCCGUACCCCCCGCCGCUCCCGGACUGCUCCUCGCCCCCGGAGUGGGCCGACGAGUGGUGGUGCGGCGCCUCGGCGGCAGGUGCUUCCCCGUGCGGGGCGUGGUGGCCGGCGGAGGCGGCAGGGGCUUCCGCGUGCGGGGCGUGGUGGCCGGCGGCGGCGGCGGAUGAGGAGUUGGAGGAGCCGUACUGGUGGAGGUAUCCCUCGGCCUUCUCCACGUACUUGCCGUAGCUCUUCUCCUCGAGCUUGCCGUAGUGGCAGGCGGCGUCGAGG